Molecule: ribosomal RNA, 492 nt
Filed under: uncultured bacterium
Lineage: Bacteria
Description: partial 16S ribosomal RNA
Rfam family: Bacterial small subunit ribosomal RNA
Source: RNAcentral
AGUGAACGCUGGCGGUAGGCCUAACACAUGCAAGUCGAACGGCAGCACAGUAAGAGCUUGCUCUUACGGGUGGCGAGUGGCGGACGGGUGAGGAAUACAUCGGAAUCUACUUUUUCGUGGGGGAUAACGUAGGGAAACUUACGCUAAUACCGCAUACGACCUACGGGUGAAAGCAGGGGAUCUUCGGACCUUGCGCGAUUGAAUGAGCCGAUGUCGGAUUAGCUAGUUGGCGGGGUAAAGGCCCACCAAGGCGACGAUCCGUAGCUGGUCUGAGAGGAUGAUCAGCCACACUGGAACUGAGACACGGUCCAGACUCCUACGGGAGGCAGCAGUGGGGAAUAUUGGACAAUGGGCGCAAGCCUGAUCCAGCCAUACCGUGUGGGUGAAGAAGGCCUUCGGGUUGUAAAGCCCUUUUGUUGGGAAAGAAAAGCAGCAGGUUAAUACCCGGCUGUUCUGACGGUACCCAAAGAAUAAGCACCGGCUAACUCCGUG